UACGAAGGGGGCUAGCGUUGCUCGGAAUUACUGGGCGUAAAGCGCACGUAGGCGGGUCGUUAAGUCGGGGGUGAAAUCCUGGAGCUCAACUCCAGAACUGCCUCCGAUACUGGCGACCUCGAGUCCGGGAGAGGUGAGUGGAACUGCGAGUGUAGAGGUGAAAUUCGUAGAUAUUCGCAAGAACACCAAUUGCGAAGGCAGCUCGCUACACAUAUAUUGACUCUGAGGCACGAAAGCGUGGGGAUCAAACAGG
Molecule: ribosomal RNA, 253 nt
Filed under: uncultured prokaryote
Description: partial 16S ribosomal RNA
Rfam family: Bacterial small subunit ribosomal RNA
Source: RNAcentral